UUGACCUCAAGUCGGGUGGGACUACCC
Molecule: ribosomal RNA, 27 nt
Filed under: salal root associated fungus UBCtraSeq64
Lineage: Eukaryota; Fungi; Basidiomycota; Agaricomycetes; Sebacinales; Sebacinaceae
Description: partial 28S ribosomal RNA
Source: RNAcentral